This is a long non-coding RNA of Ailuropoda melanoleuca (giant panda), 2207 nucleotides long. RefSeq lists it as uncharacterized. Lineage: Eukaryota; Metazoa; Chordata; Mammalia; Carnivora; Ursidae. The record is from RefSeq and is a predicted model, not a curated record. The transcript has 4 exons.
CUGGCCCCGCCCCACUCUCCUUCACUCCCGUUGCUGCAAAAGGCGCUUGUAUCUCGAGAUGGAGAAAAAUGAGCACAGAGUGGUGGGGUAACUUGUCCCAGGUCACACAGCCAGGAGAAGGUGGAGCCAGGCUUUGAGCCCAGGAAAAAAAGAUCCCUUCUCUAAUUCUUGCAGAAUAAUUAAACAAUUACAAAACAGGUGGGUUCUCUGUAUGGUACAAUUUAUGACUACUAUGCUGCCCUAACUUAUAAUUUUUUUUAGAAAUCUAUAUACAGUAUAGAAUGUUGACAUAUUAUAGUUGGUUAUCUAUACCCUCAGGUUUAGGAAAUUUAUUCUGUAAAGGGCUAGGGAGUAUUUUAGGCUUCACAGCGUUAAGGAUGGAGUUGUGUUCCCUCCAAAUACAUAUGUUGAAGCCUGCUAUGGUCUGAAUGUUUGUGUCCUACCAAAAUUCAUGUGGAAAUCCUGACCUCAAAAGUAAUGGUACUAGGAAGUGGGGGGGUUUGGGAGGUGAGAGGUCAUGAAGGUAAAGCCCUCAUGAAUAGGAUUAGCACCCUUAUAAGAGACCUCAGAGAGAUUCUUCACCUUUCCCACCAUGCGAGGGCACAACAAAAAGAUGGCCAUCUAUGAACUUGAAAGUGGGCUCUCACCAAACACUGAAUCUGCCAACGCUUAGACUUUUCAGCCUCCAAAAGGGUGAGAAAUAAGUUUCUGUUGUUUAUGAGCCACCCAGUCUACAGUGUAUCUGUUACAGCAACCUGAACAAAUUAAAUCCCUGAACCUCAAUGUGACCAUUUCAAGACAGGGCCUUUAAAGGGGUGAUUAUAGUCAAAUGAGGUCAUAAGGAUGGGGCCAUAAUCCAAAAUGACUGGUGUCCUUAUAAGAAAAGGAAGAGAUACCAAGGAUGAAUGCACAGAGGAAAGGUCAUGUAAAGACACAGCAAGAAGCCAAGGAGAGGAGACUCAGAAGAAACUAAACUUGCCACCACCUUGAUCUUGGACAUCAGCCCCCCAAACUGUGAGAGAAUAAAUUUCAGUUGUUUAUAUAAACAAAUAGAUGUGGCUGUGUUCCAAUACAAUUUUAUUUAUAACAACAGGUACAGGCUGGAUUUGGCCCAUGGGCCACAGUUUGCUGUCCCUUGAUCUACAGUAUUUAAAGAGGUAUGGUGCUUUGACUGAUUUCAAAUGUCAUGUAAGCCAAGAGCCACUGUGCACGGGAGCAAGGAAGAAGUGACAGGGACACACGAGUGGUUAUGGGGUGCUGCUCAGUGACACAAAUGAGGACUGCCUUUCUGGAAUGACUGAAGGGUAAAAAUGGGGACUGAGAAUAGACAAGGGGGCAGUAAUGAGGGGAAUCCCUAGAAUAAGGACCAGCAGAAAAGCAGAUCAGGGUAUAACCCAACAUCACUGUGUGCCUGGGUCACUGUGAAGUGUCACCACUAAUCUCUCAGUCUCCAACCUCUUCUCCCUAUUUGCCCAUUUUGUAAGUUGCCACAGUUAACGUCCCUGAAACGCCAAUUGACCAGGUCUGUAAGGACAGUCCCCUACCACCCAUUUUCCUGGUGCUAUGAGAGGCAAUGCAUGGUCACUGUUGAAUUGAGUCAGGGGGUCAGAGUUAGCAAGUGAGCAUAAAGGACUCAUGCAGAAUCCAAUACAGUUGAGGGGGUGUGAGAAGACAAGAAACAGAGAAGUUGAGUGAAGUGGAGAGUGAUUAAGGAAAGUCCUGCUGAGGCUGAAUGCAGCAGGAAGCAGAAAACCACGCCGUGGAUGCUGGCAGGUGGUGGACGUGGUUACCGGGCCAUUCCAACAGACUUACCUGACAUUCAAGGUAGAUUAAGAGGGAAGGAAUGGUGAUCAAACAGAUGACAGGAAAAAGAGGGAGGUGAAAGUGGCAUCACUGCUAACUGAGGGGCUUCUCUAGAGAGGGCAGAAUGCCUGGCAGCACGGGGGAAGGGGCACACCUGAGAGGAGGGAAGAAGAAAGCCAGUACAGUGUGUGUGUGGGGGGGUGUCGGGGAGAGGCCCAGCUGGCCAGUACAUUCCCUGCAGGGGCAGGACUCAUGCAGGAGAGAACAGGAGCUUCUGUGCAGGGAUUAUUCUUGAGGCAGCCCUGAUUUCCCCUGGGAUUUCUCCUAUGCUUCUAGAAACUACUGGCUUCCUGGACAGCCUUCUGCAUGAGCCUCCGGGCCUCCUUCCCAUCUCUUCACCUGGA